GAUGAACGCUGACAGAAUGCUUAACACAUGCAAGUCUUUGGCGAAUCUGUUCUUGCGUAGGCUAGCCACGGCGGACGGGUGAGUAACGCGGUAAGAACUUGCCGCGCAUACAGGGAUAACAGACGGAAACGACUGAUAACAGCUAAGACAAUUGCCGGCACGCACGUGCCUGGCAAUGAAAAGAGAUGCUGCAGGAGAGCUUUGCGUCCUAGUAGCUUGUUGGUGAGGUGACGCAUCACCAAGGCGAUGAUAGGCAGCCGGCCUGGGAGGGUGACCGGCCCCAAGGGGAUUGGGCUACGGCCAUAACCCCUACGGAGGGAAGCAGUGGGGAAUAUUGGACAAUGGCGGCAACCUGAAUCCAGCAAGUCUGUGUGCACGAAGAAGGUUUUCGGAUUGUAAAGUGCUUUAAGAAGGGAAGAAGGAAGUGACGGUAACUGCAGAAGAAGCGACGGCUAAAUACGUGC
Molecule: ribosomal RNA, 464 nt
Filed under: uncultured bacterium
Lineage: Bacteria
Description: partial 16S ribosomal RNA
Rfam family: Bacterial small subunit ribosomal RNA
Source: RNAcentral